RNAcentral lists this ribosomal RNA (108 nucleotides) under Candidatus Saccharimonadota bacterium. The record is from RNAcentral. Lineage: Bacteria; Candidatus Saccharimonadota.
CUCGGUGUCCAUGGCGCUGGGGAAACACCUGUUCUCAUUCCGAACACAGCAGUUAAGCCCAGCAGCGGCGAUUAUACUGCUAUGCGGGAAACUAGCACGAUGCCGAAU